This 433-nucleotide ribosomal RNA is filed under the name uncultured bacterium. RNAcentral describes it as "partial 16S ribosomal RNA". It matches the Rfam family "Bacterial small subunit ribosomal RNA", at positions 29 to 507 of the family's 1533-position model. The record is from RNAcentral.
AACGAACGCUGGCGGCAUGCCUAACGCAUGCAAGUCGAACGAGACCUUCGGGUCUAGUGGCGCAUGGGUGCGUAACGCGUGGGAACCUGCCCUUAGGUUCGGAAUAACUCCCCGAAAGGGGUGCUAAUACCGGAUAAUGUCUUCGGACCAAAGAUUUAUCGCCUUUGGAUGGGCCCGCGUUGGACUAGCUAGUUGGUAGGGUAAAAGCCUACCAAGGCGACGAUCCAUAGCUGGUCUGAGAGGAUGAUCAGCCACACUGGGACUGAGACACGGCCCAGACUCCUACGGGAGGCAGCAGUGGGGAAUAUUGGACAAUGGGCGAAAGCCUGAUCCAGCAAUGCCGCGUGAGUGAUGAAGGCCUUAGGGUUGUAAAGCUCUUUUACCCGGGAUGAUAAUGACAGUACCGGGAGAAUAAGCUCCGGCUAACUCCGUG